This 964-nucleotide ribosomal RNA is filed under the name uncultured Neocallimastigales. RNAcentral's name for it is "partial large subunit ribosomal RNA". It matches the Rfam family "Eukaryotic large subunit ribosomal RNA", at positions 26 to 634 of the family's 3401-position model. Lineage: Eukaryota; Fungi; Neocallimastigomycota; Neocallimastigomycetes; Neocallimastigales. The record is from RNAcentral.
CGCAUCUGUGCAUGCAGCAUAUCAAUAAGCGGAGGAAAAGAAACUAACAAGGAUUCCCUUAGUAACGGCGAGUGAAGCGGGAAGAGCUCAAAUUUGAAAUCUUCAAGGUUUUACCUUGACGAAUUGUAGUUUAAAGAAGUGUUUUCUGUUGAAGUUUUGGUAAAAGUUCUUUGGAAUAGGACAUCAUAGAGGGUGAGAAUCCCGUAUUUGACCAUUAUUUUCAGCUGUGUGAUACACUUUCAAAGAGUCGGAUUGUUUGGGAAUGCAGUCCAAAAUGGGUGGUAAAUUUCAUCUAAAGCUAAAUAUUGGCGAGAGACCGAUAGCGAACAAGUACCGUGAGGGAAAGAUGAAAAGAACUUUGAAAAGAGAGUUGAACAGUACGUGAAAUUGUCAAAAGGGAAGCGUUUGACACCAGUGUUGUUUUCUCGAAAAUCAAUUAAAAAGAGUUAGAUUUUGUUGUGUAUUGACCUUAACAGCUUGCAUUUCAAUAUUCUUGCUUUUUUUAAUGCACUUUUCGUUUAACAAGUCAACAUCAGUUUCUUUUGUUGUAAAAAGGUCAUUGGAAGGUGGCUUUCUUUUCGGAGAAAGUGUUUAUAGCCUUUGACUCCUGCAAUCGGAGAGACUGAGGUCUGCAGCGUAGAUCCUUCGGGGUUAGAUACAUUUGUGCUAAGUUAUAGCUUUUUAUAGACAACUUGUUGACUAUGAUUAGUCUUGUAGCUUACUCGCUUAUGCUAUUUUACCUACGCUUAGGAUGUUGACACACGCGCGUGCUCGAUGAUAGUCUAUACAUGACUCUGCGCAUAUCAAUAAGCGGAGGAAAAGCGCAUUAAAGAUCCAGAUACCUACGCUUAGGAUGUUGACACACGCGCGUGCUCGGCUCUAUACAUGACUCUGCGCAUAUCAAUAAGCGGAGGAAAAGAGGGCCAUUACCUACGCUUAGGAUGUUGAAGAUGUAGCACAUCAU